GAUGAACGCUGGCGGCGUGCCUAAUACAUUCAAGUCGAGCGAACGGACGAGAAGCUUGCUUCUCUUAUUUUAGCGGCGGACGGGUGAGUCACACUUGGAUAACCUACCUAUAAGACUGGGAUCACUUCGGGAAACCGGCGCUAAUACCGGAUGAUAUUUUGAACCGCAUGGUUCAAAAGUGAAAGACGGUCUUGCUGUCACUUAUAGAUGGAUCCGCGCUGCAUUAGCUAGUUGGUAAGGUAACGGCUUACCAAGGCAACGAUGCAUAGCCGACCUGCGAGGGUGAUCGACCACACUGGAACUGAGACACGGUCCAGACUCCUAGGGGAGGCACAAGUAGGGAAUCUUCCGAAAUGGGCGAAAGCCUGACGGAGCAACGCCGCGUGAGUGAUGAAGGUCUUCGGAUCGUAAAACUCUGUUAUUAGGGAAGAACAUAUGUGUAAGUAACUGUGCACAUCUUGACGGUACCUAAUCAGAGAGCCACGGCUAACUACGUG
This 497-nucleotide ribosomal RNA is filed under the name uncultured bacterium. RNAcentral's name for it is "partial 16S ribosomal RNA". It matches the Rfam family "Bacterial small subunit ribosomal RNA", at positions 28 to 507 of the family's 1533-position model. The record is from RNAcentral.